Long non-coding RNA from Siniperca chuatsi (mandarin fish), 2618 nucleotides. RefSeq lists it as uncharacterized. The record is from RefSeq and is a predicted model, not a curated record. The transcript has 3 exons. NCBI's taxonomy places the organism in Eukaryota, Metazoa, Chordata, Actinopteri, Centrarchiformes, Sinipercidae.
CUGUGAGGGAGUAGCCCUGCAGUGGAUGGAGAGGAGAAGCAUAAUAGAAAAACUCAUUUGAAGGGAACUCAGGAGCCCAGGACCACAUUAAGCUCAGCUGCCGGCCUGAAUGAAAGAUCAUGUCGAACUCGUCACACACUUCUGAUGUGAGACUGAUAGAGGUUGGAGCACAGCCACUCGCUGUCAGGUCCCAGCUAAUGGAAUCAACAUGGUUGACGGAUAAACCCACCGAAAAUAAGUUGUCAGAGUGCUGCAGGCCCUUCAUCAACCUCCCUGCCAUGUGUGCCGCUGACUUGACCCCUCCCAAUGCCAUAUCAGGAGGGUGUUUUAUCUUCAGCAUGCUGAAAUUAGAGAGCUGCCUGGAAAUGGGUCAGUAUUAACGACUGACCAGGCAGGCCAUUGUGCUGCAUGCCACAACAAGCCCAGACCACAUUAGGCUGCUGAGACAGGGGGUGAUGGAGGAGGUGGAUAAUUCACUGCGAGCAGGGGAGAGCCACAGCACAGCCACGUACCACUAAUGGUGCUGAGGAGUGCAGCAACACUCCACACGUCCCCUUUUCCAAUGCUUUCAUCUGCUUCAGGGCCGAGAGCAAGCGGCAACAGGGAAUGUUGACCCUUAACACUGACAGGUCAGGUGUGUGUCUGUAUCUUUCCGUCUGUGUUUGUUGUACUGCAAACAAAUCCAACUGUAAAACACCUCUGCCCUCAACUAUGCACAUGAAAGCAGUCAUUUGCAGGUUUAAUGAUGAAUACUUACUGAAAUAUUAGCAAAAUGUCUAACAUGGAUCCUUUUGGUGAUGUCAACUUUGCAGAAAGCCAGCUCAGCUUGCAUUGACAUAGUUGCUAUGUUCUAUGGUGAUGGCCAAAGGUUGCAAUUAAACUGCCAGUUGAUUCUGUAAUAAUGGAAACAUACUUUCUGUAAGUGUCAAAUAUCUAAAUUCUGAAAAUUACUUAUCUAAUUACUUAAAAAUUAGUAAAUCAGAUCCAGUAUUUUCAAUUACAAUCAGUGAUAUUUCAUUAUUUGCUCAUCAUAGUAACUGAACUAAAAUAUGCCCUGUACAAUAUUGCUAUAUACAGAAAAGCUUUGUAUUUUGUUAGUGACACUACAUUUUUAAAUUUGAGUUAAUGCCUUCUAGACAACAAUAAACAACACCUCUGCUUUUUGUUUCUAUGCCCUAAUAGCUGCCAAACUGUGCAUGCUCUCCCUCUCCCUAGCCUCUCCUCCUUCUUGCUUGCACUCAGGCGUCUCUGUGCUGGACCAUCGGCCGUCCUGGGAACUCUCUCCCUCCUGGCUGUCGGCGCCUCAUCCAGUCGUUGAUCUGGAUCUUCGUACACCAAGAGAUUCAGCCUCUCCCCUUCUCUCCCUCUCUCCCUAGUUUGGAUGUUGUCAUGGCUCUCUCUCUACCUCUGUGUGAAUGCUGUUGUCCUCUUUUGUGUUUGUGUGGCCUUUCCUCUUUCCAGGUCUCUGUGGUGGAGAGGAGGCGGUGUGGCUCAGAUCCCACUUAGUGGGCGACACCUGAAGUUGCUCAAUUGUCCUCCUGGAUCCAUCCUCUUCACUACUUUACUUCAUCUACAUUUUGUUAUGAUAAUUGUAUAUUGUCAUGUAUGACUUUCUGUUGUGAAUCGAUUCUAUACACGCAGCAUCUAUUGCAUGUCUGUCCAUCCUGGGAGGGGGAUCCCGCCUCUGUGCUGCUUUUGCUGAGGUUUCUCCCAUUUUUCCCCCCCCCGUUAUAAAAGGUAGACUUGAGCUGGUCAGCCGAUAUUUGCCUUCCACAGAUAUAUCAGUAUCAGCGUGAACGUUAUCCAAUAUGAGCCAAAUAAAACUGCUUUCUUUCAGUAUAUUAGGCAGAACGGAAGGUCUGUGUUAAUUUAUUGGUAUCAUUACAACGUUCAUCAAGCACAGUGAAGUCAUCCCAGUGGUAAGCAGUAUAACAAUAACAGCAUAAUAACAGCUCACAAGAACUAGCUUCAACAGUAAAAAUAUAGCUGGUCUCAUGAAAUGUACUUCACUCACUAAUGGUUAAAACAACAAACCAGCACAAAAAUUAAAACUGCCAUCAUAACCCACCAUGUUCUGAACAGAUAGAUUACAAACACUAACAAAAAGUAACAUUUGCAUUUUGGAACAUAAGGCAACUAACUUAAUAAACUGUUUUCAGCACUCAGAAGUGCAUGCUGGGAAAUAUUGGCCGUCGCUAUUGGUACAGCACUCUCAGCACCUUGCAGCAGACGUAGUCUUUAUUUUCUCAGUGUUCAUUUCUAGAAUUGGUUGACAGUGUAUAUGAUAUUAACAUGUUAAAGAAUAUUAAAUUUAAAUAUUCUUUAAUAAAGUUAUUUGUUUAAGAAAGCACCUUUAUAUAGGCACAAUCGGUGCACAAUCCACAUAGAAACAGGUCUAUUUUCCUUCCAGCUCAAAAAUGCAAUAUAUCGGCUGCCAUAUUGUUAAUAAGUGAGUGUUUCCCCUCAAAAAUUGGUAUCUGUCUCAAAAAUCCCAUAUCAGUGGGCUCUAGAACAAACAGCACUAAACUUUGUUGCUCAUUUUUAUUGUGUUGUGUUUAUUGUUUUUGCUGUGUUUUGAUGUGACAAAAACACAUUUCUUGCCCUGUUGGGACAAUAAA